RNAcentral lists this long non-coding RNA (1525 nucleotides) under Cucumis sativus (cucumber). RNAcentral describes it as "long non-coding RNA (CSAT_LNC002398)". The record is from RNAcentral. Lineage: Eukaryota; Viridiplantae; Streptophyta; Magnoliopsida; Cucurbitales; Cucurbitaceae.
ACUUCAGAGCCAAACAAUCAAAACUGUAAGUCUCAUAUGUGAAGUUGUUUUUUCCUUUUAAUAUUACUCGUCAUCUAAUGAAGUCUUCACAAUCGUAUAGAUUUUAAAAUACACAAACGUGGAACAUUUACUAAAGGUUCGUGUAGACAUAAUAAACUAUUGUUUAAUUUAGAGUGAAUGAUCAUUUAGUAUCGAGUUACACGAUCAUUCACAAUCGUUGAGUGAACGCGAACGAGAAAACUGAUAAAAGUACGGGCAUGACAAUGGAAGAGAAUCAUAAUGAAACACAAUUUCAUCUAAUUUAACAUGAAAUUAAAAUUUUUAGAAAUGUAAAUUCAAGAACACUUACUUGAAUUUUGAAAUUCUCCUUUGAUUCUUGAUCAUUUUGUCAAUUCCAAGCCGUAGAUACCACAAGAGUCUUCUCUACUGUUCUUUGGUUUUUAUAUUAUAUUGUAUUUACUCUAUGGAAACUUUUAUAUCAAAGUAUGACAUUUUUUCACAUACACCAUUUGUAUAUAUGAUAUCUACCGUUUUCUAACAAUCAAUUUUUCAAAAGUCUAGAUUUUUUACUAUAUAGACAAUUUUUGUUAUAUACUUUUACCAGUUGUUUAAACAACCAAGCCAAAACUUGAAAACUAGAAAACAACUUUUAAAUUUUUGCUUUUGUGUUUUGGAAUUCUACUAAGAAUUCAACAACCACACAAAUAAUACGCAAAACAUUAUAACAAAUGAGGAGAAAAUAUAUUUAAAUUUUAGAAGAUAAAAAAUAAAUGAUUAGCGAAUGGGGAACUUACUUUCUCAUACUCAUAAAAAGUGUUGCUACAAUAAAUAGUAAUACUAUUUCGUAAUCUCCAAAUAUGCAGUUUUUUUUAUUUACUAUUGCAUGCUAGAUUACCUAUUGGUAACCCCAAGUUAUUACAAUGUAUUUGAAUGACUAUAAAAUGAUGCAAGAUAUCACACGUUUUACAAACACAGUGCAACCUUCAAAUUUGGUAAAGAUUGCACUAACCUCUCCUAUAAUAGUGUCAAAUAUAUCUACAAAAUUUUCUACCUUGGUUAUAUUUUAAAAACUUUAUUAACAAUAUAAGUAAUUAUUAUUAAAUAAUACAUAAUAUAUAAUUUUAAUAACAAUUUGAAAUUACAUUUUAGAUUAGAUUCAUUUCAGGCUUUUUAUUUUAAAAAGAAUUCUUUUUUGGUGGCAGUGCAAAUUACUUUUUGAUGAAGAAGCUACUUGGCAAGAAGAAAAUCCUUUGCUUUGCGCCUAAUGUAUGAAGACUUUGAAGGGUUGAAGGGAACAAAGUUGGAAGCUCCAAUUGUUAUUGCUCGUUAUUGCAACUGUCGGAGGACUUUGAAGGUUUAAAGGAGCUUUGAUGGUGAUGAUUUUCAACUUUUUGGAAAAAAUUAGGAUUUUGAUAAGCGUUAAUUGAUUUCAACCCAAAUUACGUUUAUUAAUAAUUUUUAUUUUAAAAAAUUCUAUUUUGGUGGCAGCGCAAAUUAUGUUUUGAUGAAGAAGCUACUCAGGAAG